This 270-nucleotide ribosomal RNA is filed under the name uncultured microorganism. Its description in RNAcentral is "partial 16S ribosomal RNA". It matches the Rfam family "Archaeal small subunit ribosomal RNA", at positions 330 to 600 of the family's 1478-position model. The record is from RNAcentral.
GUGCACCAGGCGAGAAUACUUCACACUGUGCGAAAGCACGAUGAGGGAAUCCCAAGUGCUUGCACGUAAGUGUAAGCUGUUUCUCUGUCUAAAAACGCAGAGAGAGUAAGGGCUGGGUAAGACGGGUGCCAGCCGCCGCGGUAAUACCUGCAGCUCAAGUGGUGACCGUUAUUAUUGGGCCUAAAACGUCCGUAGCCGGUUUAAUAAAUGCCUGGGUAAAUUGUGUAGCUUAACUAUACGAAUUCCGGGUAGACUGUUAAACUUGAGACC